UAAAUAUCAGCUGGUAAUUCUGGGGUUAGACUCCCCCAGAGUGCUAGUUGGUAUCCA
RNAcentral lists this microRNA precursor (57 nucleotides) under Plutella xylostella (diamondback moth). Its description in RNAcentral is "microRNA pxy-mir-283 precursor". Its record names the gene pxy-mir-283. Lineage: Eukaryota; Metazoa; Arthropoda; Insecta; Lepidoptera; Plutellidae. The record is from miRBase by way of RNAcentral.